This is a long non-coding RNA of Galleria mellonella (greater wax moth), 1763 nucleotides long. RefSeq lists it as uncharacterized. The transcript is spliced from 3 exons. NCBI's taxonomy places the organism in Eukaryota, Metazoa, Arthropoda, Insecta, Lepidoptera, Pyralidae. The record is from RefSeq and is a predicted model, not a curated record.
CUAAGGUAAGCCGCUUUACUAUCAUUGACAGCUGUCGCACACCUGUUAUUCCACCAAGGUACUGCAAUAUGUUUGUGCCUCUUUGAAGUAUUUGCACCGCUAUUUGAUAAGUUCCUACGUGGAACGGAACGUUCCACAGCUGUCAAAAUAAUUUUACAGAAUCUAUUGUAAUUGUUUAAGGGUUCUUUGACAUCAUACUCGAAAUCCAAAAGUAAUUGAUUAACAGUUUCAGAAUAAAGAUCCCAAUUAACGAGACAUGCUGCAACGCUCAGAAUUCUUACAGAAUUUAGCUAAAUGUCCAUACCUCAAGCACCGGUAGCAUUGUUUAACUGGUGGUAUAUAUGGAGUGACAUUGUGGCGCCAACCUCCAAUAUCCAGAUAUUCAGGUAAUACAGAUGCAGCAAAAGUAAUUGUCACGGUUAGAGUUGGCUGUAACACAUAUCCAUGAGUCAAGAUUCUGAGUCAGUAGAAGUAUCUUCCGAAUAUAUAUCCUUGUCAUUACAAGGUUCAUGGUCUACAUCACCUGAAUCGUCAUCUUUUUUUUUCCUUUUUAUACAACUGCGCUUCCCCAUGAAUGCUAAUUAUAUUACUGUCGCUGAAUUUAGUGAAAAUAUAAUAUUUUAUUCAAUAAUAAGAAUUGAUAGAGAUAGUUUUAAUAAAUUAAUAAAAAAAAUUUAAAAAACCCGCUUGUUCUUAUUCGAGUUUCCCGCCUUUUCUCAUGUUAUCAUUUAUCAGUUAUGUCGUUCGCUGUCAUUGUCAGGUAGCUGACAUCCGAAAUAUAUGCCUGAUACUUAUAACCUGCGUUUUUAAUACAUUUGUCACGUGAGACAGGCAAAUGUCCCUCAUUUUUACAAUACUAUACAACUGAUUAUUAAGAUCUUAGCUAGUAGAAUCUAUGUUAGAACUUAUGUUCUACACUAAAUCUAUGAGUAGAUCUAGUUUGUUCCGUUAUGGAACAGGUUAAGGUCGGAGACUAUGCUGCCUAGUCUUCAGUAUAUUUUGUCUGGAAUGUAGAAUAGUGUUUUGUAUUAUAUAUAUGUUUAUUUUUAAAGAAUAAAGAUGGCAAUUAAGUAUGUGUUUGUUUGAUAUAUUUUUUUUUAUCAUAUCGUAGGCAUCUAAUCGUAAAACUUAUUUGUUUCUGAAAAUAUAGCUGUUUAAGUUUCAUUCCUUAUAGUUGUGUCCGUUUUUAUAAUUAGCACGGACACGUGAACGAGCAAACAUUGUUCUUUUUACACACACAAUAUUUUAGGUACAUAAUGAAGCCUAUUUGUCAUUUUGUUAUAUCUUUAUUUGUCAUUUUGUUAUAUGUUUUUUUUGUCUUUUAUCCUUCCCAUUUCCUAUAUGUUUUAACUACUUUAACAAUCCAAAAUUCCAAUACGGGCUCUGUUCUUGAAUUUUUGGUUUUUGGUUGUUCAAUUGGUCUUUAUUGGAAAAGAAUAUAGCCUAGUAUAAUUAUGCAAAUCGGGCGUCAAUAAAAUAAGCGGUUGAGGUAAUCAGGGAUUAUUCAGGUAGUUUGGUAUAAUAAAGUUCAAUAAUACUACAAGAAUUUGAAUAUACAGAACAAAAUAUUGAAUCAGUUUUCUGCGGUUAAAAUGUAUCUUGAAGUAUUUUUUAAUAAAUAAAAUUUACGCAUUAAAAAGAUGCAGAAUUUAUAAGACAAUAAAUAUAGAAGUUAUAAAGGAAUCACUCAUAACUAUUUAUUACGCAAAAUUGUACAUAAAAGUUAACUCGUUUUUCUCGAAGCAUGGAUUUAUUUUGAUUCU